This 259-nucleotide long non-coding RNA is filed under the name Phoenix dactylifera (date palm). Its description in RNAcentral is "long non-coding RNA (PDAC_LNC011196)". Lineage: Eukaryota; Viridiplantae; Streptophyta; Magnoliopsida; Arecales; Arecaceae. The record is from RNAcentral.
AGUCGACUCGUAAUGUGCCGGAAUCGACUCGAGCUUGUGCCAGUGCUUCUGAUAUGCUUGAAGUCGACUCGUACUAUUUCGGAGUCGACUCGAGAUUCAGACUUUGAUUCAAAUUGAUUUCCAUACUUAGCCAAAGUGUAUUGAACCAAAGCUAGAGACACUUAAACAUAAAUUCACAAAUAUUUGACUGAAACACAAGAUUGAAUUCAUUAGUAUAACAUAAGAUAUACUCAAAUGCUUUGAGCUCAUCAAAAUCAAA